Molecule: long non-coding RNA, 1834 nt
Organism: Triticum aestivum (bread wheat)
Lineage: Eukaryota; Viridiplantae; Streptophyta; Magnoliopsida; Poales; Poaceae
Exons: 6
Source: RefSeq, a predicted model, not a curated record
UGCUAGAUAGGCUAACUAGCUAGGAAGCUGCGAGCUAGAUAGGUUAACUGAAAUUGUUUGACUUUAAAGUGUUACAGAUCAGCUGCCAUCAGUCAUGUAAAUAAGUUGAAAGGAAAUCAUGCUACUCUGAUAACUGGAUUCCUCUUUAAUUUCGUGGUAUGAUCUUUUAGUACGUAGCAGACUAAAACCGAGUCUGAAAGUAGUGUCAAAUUUGGUGUAGACUCCACGUUCAGCAGUGGCCAUGCAAGGUAUUUUUUGUUGGGUGUGCCAUUGUGUUUUUUGGAGCAAUAAUCCUACAGCUAUUGGGUAAGAUUUACAGUCCGUGUAGACGAGCCGUAUGUCUUAUUGUUAGUAUCUCUACUCCUAAUGUCUCAUUUGGUAGUCUCCGUUCUACGGUUAAUUUUCGUCCCACCUCCACUGGUUUAUUUUCGUUCUCCAUCCCACCUAACACAUACACACGUCUGUGCUUGCUUGCUGAUGUGUGUGUGUCGAUGCGUCCCUCACGUGCUCUCCCGCCAGGCACCAGCAGCCGUUCGGUGUGCUCUCCGGCAUGCUGCAGUCGAAGGGUCGAGCAGGAGCUAUGGAUGCCAGCAAACAAGCCUGUGCAGACGGCAAUGCAUCAAUCAAAUCGGAUGGAGAACAUCACACAACAGCCUUUCUCCAGGACAUAAAGAAAAUGGUGGCACUUUGGGUUUUGAAGACGCCGCCUCGCGUAGGACUACGAACAUGGGACGCUCAGUCGAGUUUUUCUUAACUCGUCAGGAUUCUCAUGCUGCAAAUUUAGUAACGGGGCAAAAUUUUUGGUGUCCUGUUGUGUUUGCGGAUUGAUGAAAAUUUGGCGAGGGAGAUCAUAAACCAUCGCUCGCUGCAGCACAUCAAUUGUUGAAUUCGUUUGAAGGAGCUGUCAAUUGUUGAAUUCGCUUGAAGGAGAUGGAGCUCGUUUGGCUGAAUUUGCUACUGAGCUGCCACAUUUUGAGGGCCUGCAAUUGAAGAAUACAACACUUGAGAUAACAAUUGAAGAAUACUAGAGUAAUAAUAACUACUGCAAGAUUGAUGUAUUUUCUUUUUGUUGGAGAUUUUCUGCAUCUUUUAUGGACGGUAACAUUUGAGAUAACAAUUUGAUGUGCUAACCAUCAAGAUCAACUUUGACAUGUUUGGUCUCUAAAAGUUACUAUUGACCAUCAUUAGUACAUCCUAUAAGGUAUAGUAAGUACUAUGAGUAACUUACCAGACGUUGACUGUAGAAGUUGCUAUCCAACUCUUGUGAAAUCUAACCAUGUUAUUCAUUUACGAUACCUGUACGUAUGUGGUACACAAUCUGAAAUAGUAGAAGGGGAAAAUAAAGCAUUAAUGUGGAGUAUGUUCCAAUGGAAAUCUUCAGGAACACCUUGAAGGUCUGAGUGCAAUUUUUCUUUAGUUCUCUGUGAGCUUAAAAAUGCAACUGAUGUGGCCCAUGCAACUGAAAUUAAAAACAUGGAGAAGAAUCAUAAAAGAUCUCGCUGAAAAUGCCCUCGUUCCGCACUUCGUGUGGACAGGCAGCGCCCUUUACCUUUGAAGUCUCGAAAAAUGGUCUGGGUGAUGCGGGUGCCUCAAUGCUUGAUGCCAUGUUCUGUAAGAGGCCAAGGUUGUAUUUGGGUGUCCACGCGCUACAGGGAAUUACUGUGCGGAGUAGUAAGAAUUGAUUUAAACGUAGAGCCUAGACUCGCACUCCAUGAGCAUCCAUGGCCGGCGAGACAGGACCCUCGACCCUCGGCCUCUGUUGAGAAGGAUCGUUCCACUGUGUCCGAUUUGUAGUACAGAGCAAUCUCAUUCCUCUGAAGUUCCUAUUGGGAAA